UACGGAGGGUGCAAGCGUUAAUCGGAAUUACUGGGCGUAAAGAGUGCGUAGGUGGUUUAGUGUGUUAGAUGUGAAAUCCAUGGGCUUAACCUGUGAAUUGCAUUUAAAACUGCUGAGCUAGAGUGUUGUAGAGGGUGGCGGAAUUUCCAGUGUAGCGGUGAAAUGCGUAGAGAUCGGAGGAACACCAGUGGCGAAGGCGACUCCUGGACCAAGCACUGACACUGAGGCACGAAAGCGUGGGGAGCAACAGG
This 251-nucleotide ribosomal RNA is filed under the name uncultured bacterium. RNAcentral's name for it is "partial 16S ribosomal RNA". It matches the Rfam family "Bacterial small subunit ribosomal RNA", at positions 524 to 775 of the family's 1533-position model. The record is from RNAcentral.